This 383-nucleotide ribosomal RNA is filed under the name uncultured bacterium. RNAcentral's name for it is "bacterial SSU rRNA". It matches the Rfam family "Bacterial small subunit ribosomal RNA", at positions 29 to 414 of the family's 1533-position model. The record is from RNAcentral.
AUUGAACGCUGGCGGCAUGCCUUACACAUGCAAGUCGAACGCUGCCGCGGGGGCAACCCUGCGGCGAGUGGCGAACGGGUGAGUAAUGCAUCGGAACGUGUCCUUUUGUGGGGGAUAACCAGUCGAAAGAUUGGCUAAUACCGCAUGAGCUCGAGAGAGGAAAGCAGGGGACCCGCAAGGGCCUUGCGCGAGAGGAGCGGCCGAUGCCCGAUUAGCUAGUUGGNGGGUAAUGGCCACCAAGGCGACGAUCGGUAGCUGGUCUGAGAGGACGACCAGCCACACUGGGACUGAGACACGGGCCCAGACUCCUACGGGAGGCAGCAGUGGGGAAUUUGGACAAUGGGGGCAACCCUGAUCCAGCCAUGCCGCGUGUGUGAAGAAGG